CUGCUUGGUUCUUCAGCUCAUAUACUAAAAUUGGAACCAUACAGAGAAGAUUCGCAUGGCCCCUGAGCAAGGAUGACAUGCAAAUAUUUUUUUUUUU
Molecule: small nuclear RNA, 97 nt
Organism: Ochotona princeps (American pika)
Lineage: Eukaryota; Metazoa; Chordata; Mammalia; Lagomorpha; Ochotonidae
Source: Ensembl